UAAGGAAUAUUGGACAAUGGAGGCAACUCUGAUCCAGCCAUGCCGCGUGAAGGAAUAAGGCCCUAUGGGUUGUAAACUUCUUUUAGACGGGACAAAACCCCUUUACGUGUAAAGGGUUGAUGGUACUGUCAGAAUAAGCAUCGGCUAACUUCGUGCCAGCAGCCGCGGUAAUACGAAGGAUGCAAGCGUUAUCCGGAAUUAUUGGGUUUAAAGGGUGCGUAGGCGGACUAAUAAGUCAGUGGUGAAAGCCUGCAGCUUAACUGCAGAAUUGCCAUCGAUACUGUUAGUCUUGAGUACAGUUGAGGUAGGCGGAAUGUGUCAUGUAGCGGUGAAAUGCUUAGAUAUGACACAGAACACCGAUUGCGAAGGCAGCUUGCUAAGCUGUAACUGACGCUGAGGCACGAAAGCGUGGGGAGCAAACA
Molecule: ribosomal RNA, 422 nt
Filed under: uncultured bacterium
Lineage: Bacteria
Description: bacterial SSU rRNA
Rfam family: Bacterial small subunit ribosomal RNA
Source: RNAcentral